Molecule: long non-coding RNA, 1812 nt
Organism: Capsicum annuum
Lineage: Eukaryota; Viridiplantae; Streptophyta; Magnoliopsida; Solanales; Solanaceae
Exons: 4
Source: RefSeq, a predicted model, not a curated record
AUUAGCAAAAUUAAUGCAUUGUAUAUGUUUAGAUGUAAUGUGGUAUUUUUGUUAUUUUGUUUUGUAUGACUAAAAGGCAUAAUUGUUAAGUACUUAGAAGGUUUAGAACUUUGAUUCUAAUUGAAUAUUAGAUGUCUGGGUCUAUUUUGCUAAUUCUCAUUGAGGAGAAAGGAAACAGUCUCUUUAUACCGCAAAUUAGAAAUAAGGUUUACAUGCAUUUUUAUCUUUUUUGGACUUCACUUGAGAAAUCAUUAUGAGACAUUGAGUGGUGAAGCCAGGAAUUGGCAAAAGGCGUGCAAAUUUUCUUAUAGACAGUAUCGUAUAAGGCCUGCUUGUAAAGUACUUCUAUAAAAGGUUCAAAACUUUGAUUCCAACGGUAUAUUAGAUGUGGUAUAUUUUACUUGUUGAAAUUGAGAAGAAUUAGGAAACAACCUUUCUAUCCCGCAAAGUAAGAAUAAGGUCCGCAUACAUUUUAUCUUUUGUAAAUUUCACUUGUGAAAUCAUAGUGUGAAUGACGGAGAUAUCUUUCUUUUUGCUCAUCUUUGUCUCCGCACAUCUUUGUCUCCGCAAAACCUAAUUCCAAUUAUAAAGUUGAAAUCUUUUUCAGUUUUUCUCGGAUAUUUAUUUAUUUUCCUGUAAUUUGGUUUCUUUUGGGGGGUUUUAAAUUUAGACUGAUUUCAAGAAGAUAUUAAGGAAGGAUCUUUGUAUUCUUUGUACUCUGUACACUUAUUAUACCCUUCCAGUUAUGUUGUUAGGCUGAUUUAUUAUUAUAGAGUGUGGAUUUGGAUAUUGUUUCUGCACAUGCUUAUUUUCUAAUGUUCGCAAAUCACUAAUUUUAGUUUGAAUGUGUUUAUGGAUUGCUAAGCUUUAUUAUUUAGUAAUUUUUUGAUGCGGUCUUACCAUUUGCAGUAAAAUCCUAUUGAAAUUAACUAUGUCGUGAAUCAGACUACUAAGGAAUCAUAGAGAGAUUCAACUGAAGCAAGAAGAGAAAUAGCUAAGCUACUAAAGACUGGUCAGGAAGCUACUACUGGAAUUCGGUGAGAGAAGAGAGAAUGAUGGCAGCAUAAGAGAUAGCCAAGCUAUUCUGUCAGCUAAUACAUGUUCCGUCUUUCAAGUACUGAAGCACAAAGUUUGGGGAGUUUGCUAGCUGAGCUGAAAGUUGACAAGAGUAGCAAAGAGUGAAUUUUGUAAGGGACUGAUCACGGUUACUGCUUGCUUGAGAGUUUUGGAGGUGUUACUUUUGAUUGGUUGCAUUGGCCACAAGCUCAUCAGUCCUUCAGCUAUUGAGUAUAGAUAAAAUCACUUGAUGUGAAAAAAGACAUUGAUUUGUUGAAGUUGCAUGCACACUCCACAUCUCUACAAUACUUUUGAAGAAAGGUGUAGGGAGGGGUCUCACGCCAUUAACCAUAACAAACAUCAUGUGUCGAGAAACCUUGAACAAAGAAUCUUUGAUCGAGGAGAUUGUUCAAGAAGCACUGGACUUCGUACUUCCUAGAUUCAAGUAAAGAUGCACUCCUUGAGACCAUCUAACAUGUCACGUAUCACUGCCUUGAUGAAGUUGCCUGUUAACAUUGGCAUAUAGGUGUACAUAGGAGGAGAGUCUGCACACCUUUCGUUUGCAUGCAUCAACAUCGAGAGAAUAUCCUAAUUCAUUGUUUUCAAUUGAUUUUCGCAGUUAACUGGAAAUGACUAGCUAGGUUGUGACCAAGUUUUUCAAUUGUCAAAAACCGUGAAGUUUGUUUGUUGUUAAUCUUUCUAUGUUGGAUUAACUUAAAGUAACAAUAGCCUUUUCCUCAAAUAAUGUUUUAUGUU